AACCCUUGUGUUUUUGAUGAACUGGUGAACAAACACAUAAAAGACAGGUAAAGAGUAAAGCAAAAUCCAAUUUUGCAACCAAAACUCAUGGUUCAGCAUGAGUUAUUUAACAGAUAAGGAGGAAUAUG
RNAcentral lists this small nucleolar RNA (128 nucleotides) under Mus musculus (house mouse). Its description in RNAcentral is "Small nucleolar RNA SNORA40". It matches the Rfam family "Small nucleolar RNA SNORA40". From Rfam's summary of the family: The snoRNA ACA 40 belongs to the H/ACA family of snoRNAs and guides the pseudouridylation of 28S rRNA subunit at position U4565. NB This family has a high threshold value to exclude a large number of closely related sequences that do not appear to have conserved H and ACA boxes, and may be pseudogenes. Lineage: Eukaryota; Metazoa; Chordata; Mammalia; Rodentia; Muridae. The record is from Rfam by way of RNAcentral.